GCAUGGUGGCACACGCCUUUAAUCCCAGCACUCUGGAGGCAGAGGCAGGCGGAUUUCUGAGUUCAAGGCCAGCCUGGUCUACAAAGUGAGUUCCAGGACAGUCAGGGCUAUACAGAGAAACCCUGUCUCGAAAAACAAACAAACAAAGAAACAAACAAACAAAAAAACAAAAACAAAAAGAAGGCACCUUCCUGGGGCUGGAGAGAUGGCUCAGUGGUUAAAAGUACAUACCGAUCUCCCGAAGGUCCUGAGUUCAAUUCCCAGCACCCAUACCGCAGCUCACAACUCUCUUCUGACGUGAGGAUGUCCAUGUAGACAAAAUACGCAUGUAUAUAAAUAAAUAAAUCUAAGAAAAAAAAAAGUCACUUUCUAGUUCUGUUACUUUGUGUGCCCCGUACUAAGGAUUGAACCCAGGGUCUCACACAUGCUAGGCAGAUGCUCUACUCCCAAGGCAGGUCCCCAGCCAGUCCUUUUGUCUCAUUUUACAUUUGAACCCCCCUUUUUUUCCAUUAAUAUUUUUGAGACAGGGUUUCAUAUAGUCCAGGCUGGUCUUGAACUCCUGAUCUUUAUGCCUCCGCCUCCCUCCAGCUUAUAUUAGAGAAGUGGAUUAUCAUUCUGGGGUUCAUGUGAUGCUGGACAUCAAACCCAGGCCUUCAUGCAUACAAGUCAACCACUCUGCCAAUGGAGUCACAUCUCCAGGCAAUUUGCAGCCUUCCAUGAUUCUUCUCCCUCCUCUCUGGGCUAGGAAGGAUGUGAUUGGAGCAAGGAGGGCUUAUGUAUGUGAGUACACCAUAGCUGUACAAAUGAUUGUGAGCCUUCAUGUGGUUGUCGGGAAUUGAAUUUUUAGGACCUCUGCUCACUCUGGUCCAAAGAUUUAUAGAUUAAUAUACAUAACUGCACUGUAGCUGUCUUCUGACACACCAAAAGAGGGCAUCGGAUCUCAUUACAGGUGGUUGUGACCCACCAUGUGGUUGCUGGGAUUUGAACUCAGGACCUUCAGAAAAAAAGUCAGUGCUCUUAUCUGCUGAGCCAUCUUUCCAGUCCCUGCCACACGUAUUUUACAUAGUUUCUCAACACACAGAGUCAGGUGGAUUUCUGUGAGUUUGAGCCAGCCUGGUCUACAGACAAAUUGCAGGACACCCAGGGCUACAUUACAGAAAUCCUGUUUCCAAAAAGGGGGGGAAAUGAGGUUGAAACAGGCUAGGGAGCAAGGAACAAGUUUUCUUUCUCUUCUCUUCUCUUCUCUUCUCUUCUCUUCUCUUCUCUUCUCUUCUCUUCUCUUCUUUCCUUCCUUCCUUCCUUCCUUCCUUCCUUUUGGUUUUUUGAGACAGGGUUUCUCUGUGUAGCCCUGGCUGUCCUGGAACUCACUCUAUAGACCAGGCUGGUCUCGAAGUCAGAAAUUUGCCUGCCUCUGCUUCCCAAGUGCUGGGAUUAAAGGUGUGCACCACCACUGCCUGGCACAAAGUUUCUUUUUUUAAACCUCUGCUCCUGCUUGAGUUUCUGCCCUGACUCCCUCAGCGAUGGACUGUGACCCAAAAGUGCAAAUGGAAUGGUCUGUUUCCUCCCCAAGUUGCCUUCUGUUUAUUACAGCAACCUAGAACAACACAGCACCAACUCACGGGGGGGGGGGCACUUGACAGCUCUCCUCCAUGCCCACAUCCACUGACUGGAACUGCCUGUCUCCAAAUCACUACCAUCUUUUGUAAGAGCCUCCAUCUCCACGUCUUGAAUACUUGCCGUGUGUCCGGAGGCUCAUACAUUGGAAGCUUAAUCCCCAGUGUCACCUGGUAGGAGGCGAGGCCAGGUGUGCAGGUCCUGAGGGCUCCUCUACCUGUGUGAGCAGAUUAGUGCUGGUUCUUAAGAGGCGGCAGGCUUCAGUUCUGUAUUUGCUUUCUUCCUCCCUUCAUGGCCCAGGUUCUCUUGCCCUACUGCUUCCCUCACGAACUGGGGAAAAGCAGGAAGACCCACACCAGAGGAACCGUCUAGAAUUUUUUUUUUUACACCCCAGUUCUAGACCCAUAAGAAAUCACCCCUAGCCGGAUGGAUGGUGGUGGUUCAUGCCUAUAAUUCUAGCACUUGGGAGGCAGAGGCAGGCGGAUUUCUGAGUUCAAGGUCAGCCUGGUCUACAGAGUGAGUUCUAGGACAGCCAGGGCUACAUAGAGAAAUCCUGUCUCAAAAAACAGAACAGAAAGAAGAGAAAAAGACAUCAACUUUUGGGCUGGGAAGAUGGCUAGAUAGGCUAAUGGCUGCUGUGCAUGAGGGAGGACCUGAAUUUGGUCCCCAGAGCCUGUGUGAAAACAGCCAGGUGCAGUGGCACACAUGUGUAAUCCCCGCACUGGAGAGGGGAGGAAGAGACAGGUGGAUCUCUGAAGCUCAUUGGUCAACCACCCUAAUCUACUCAGUGAGCUCUGAACUGGUGAGAGAGUCUGUCUUAAAUAAAAAUGGAGAGGCUGGGGAGAUAGCUCAGCGGUUAAGAGCACUGGCUGCUCUUCCAUCCAGAAGAUCCAGGACUCAUUCCCAGCAUUCCCAUGGUGGCUCACAACCAUCUAUAACUCCAGAUAUAUCCAAAAUCCUCUUCUGAUCUCCAUGGGCACUAGGAAUGCCAAUGCUACACAAACAUAUAUUCAGGCAAAGCACCUAUACACAUAAAACAAACAAACAAACAAACAAACACCCCCAACAAAACAAAACAAUGAGGGAGCCUGGCAUGGUGGUAGCACACAGUUUUAAUCCCAGCACUUGGAAGGCAGAAGCACACAGAUCUCUGUGAGUUCAAGGCCAGCCUGGUCUACAGAGUGAAUUUCAGGCUAGUGAAGAUACAUAGGAAGGCCCUGUCUC
RNAcentral lists this long non-coding RNA (2838 nucleotides) under Mus musculus (house mouse). RNAcentral's name for it is "long non-coding RNA chr5:125471496-125474334". The record is from RNAcentral. Lineage: Eukaryota; Metazoa; Chordata; Mammalia; Rodentia; Muridae.